Molecule: ribosomal RNA, 253 nt
Filed under: uncultured bacterium
Lineage: Bacteria
Description: partial 16S ribosomal RNA
Rfam family: Bacterial small subunit ribosomal RNA
Source: RNAcentral
UACAGAGGUCCCAAGCGUUGUUCGGAUUCAUUGGGCGUAAAGGGUGCGUAGGCGGCGCGGUAAGUCGGGUGUGAAAUCUCGGAGCUUAACUCCGAAACUGCAUUCGAUACUGCCGUGCUUGAGGACUGGAGAGGUGAGUGGAAUUCCUAGUGUAGAGGUGAAAUUCGUAGAUAUUAGGAAGAACACCAGUGGCGAAGGCGGCUCACUGGCUCGGUACUGACGCUGAGGCGCGAAAGCGUGGGGAGCAAACAGG